UACGUAGGGUGCAAGCGUUGUCCGGAAUUAUUGGGCGUAAAGGGCUCGUAGGCGGUCCAUCGCGUCGGGAGUGAAAAGCUGGGGCUUAACCCCAGUCCUGCUUCCGAUACGGGUGGACUAGAGGUAGGUAGGGGAGAUCGGAAUUCCUGGUGUAGCGGUGAAAUGCGUAGAUAUCAGGAGGAACACCGAUGGCGAAGGCAGGUCUCUGGGCUGACACUGACGUCAUGCACGAAAGCGUGGGGAGCAAACAGG
This 252-nucleotide ribosomal RNA is filed under the name uncultured bacterium. RNAcentral describes it as "partial 16S ribosomal RNA". It matches the Rfam family "Bacterial small subunit ribosomal RNA", at positions 524 to 776 of the family's 1533-position model. The record is from RNAcentral.